UACGAAGGGAGCUAGCGUUGUUCGGAAUUACUGGGCGUAAAGGGCGCGUAGGCGGUACUAUAAGUUAGAUGUGAAAGCCCCGGGCUUAACCUGGGAACUGCAUUUAAGACUGUAGAACUAGAGGACGAGAGAGGAAAGUGGAAUUGUGAGUGUAGAGGUGAAAUUCGUAGAUAUUCACAAGAACACCAGUGGCGAAGGCGACUUUCUGGCUCGUAACUGACGCUAAGGCGCGAAAGCGUGGGGAGCAAACAGG
Molecule: ribosomal RNA, 253 nt
Filed under: uncultured bacterium
Lineage: Bacteria
Description: partial 16S ribosomal RNA
Rfam family: Bacterial small subunit ribosomal RNA
Source: RNAcentral